Molecule: ribosomal RNA, 326 nt
Filed under: Ligilactobacillus salivarius UCC118
Lineage: Bacteria; Bacillati; Bacillota; Bacilli; Lactobacillales; Lactobacillaceae
Source: RNAcentral
CUCACCUCGAGAUAAGAUUUCCCAUUACGUAAGUAAGUAAGAUCCCUGAAAGAUGAUCAGGUAGAUAGGAUGGAAGUGGAAGUGCUGUGAGGCAUGGAGCGGACCAUUACUAAUCGAUCGAGGACUUAACCAAGUAGAGAAAACGUGAGUUUUCGGUGAAAGAAAUAAAUGAUAUCUAGUUUUGAGAGAAUAAAAUCUCAAGUAAAUAGUGCGGUGAUGAUGGCACGAAGGAUACACCUGUUCCCAUUCCGAACACAGAAGUUAAGCUUCGUAACGCCGAGAGUAGUUAGAGGAACGCCUCUUGCGAGGGUAGGAAAUUGCUAUAU